RNAcentral lists this ribosomal RNA (439 nucleotides) under uncultured bacterium. Its description in RNAcentral is "partial 16S ribosomal RNA". It matches the Rfam family "Bacterial small subunit ribosomal RNA", at positions 339 to 795 of the family's 1533-position model. The record is from RNAcentral.
CUACGGGGUGCUGCAGUAAGGAAUAUUGGACAAUGGGGGAAACCCUGAUCCAGCCAUGCCGCGUGAAUGAAGAAGGCCUUAGGGUUGUAAAGUUCUUUUAGAUGCGAAGAUAAUGACGGUAGCAUCAGAAAAAGCUCCGGCUAACUCCGUGCCAGCAGCCGCGGUAAUACGGAGGGAGCGAGCGUUGUUCGGAAUUACUGGGCGUAAAGCGUGCGCAGGCGGCUAGAUAAGUCAGAAGUGAAAUCCCAGGGCUCAACCUUGGAAUUGCUUUUGAAACUAUUUAGCUUGAGUAUCGGAGAGGUUGGCGGAAUUCCCAGUGUAGAGGUGACAUUCGUAGAUAUUGGGAGGAACACCAGUGGCGUAAGCGGCCAACUAGACGAUAACUGACGCUCAGGCACGAAAGUGUGGGGAUCAAACAGGAUUAGAUACCCUUGUAGUC